CGGUCCUUUGGACACGUUCUCGAGUAGAGUUUUCGAUCCGUCGGCUACAGGACGAACGCUGGCGGCACGCUUAACACAUGCAAGUCGAACGGACUUGAGAGGGCUUGCUCUCUUAAGUUAGUGGCGGACGGGUGAGUAACACGUGAGCAACCUGCCUUUAAGAGUGGGAUAACGGUCGGAAACGACCGCUAAUACCGCAUAACAUACACGAACCGCAUGGUUUGUGUAUCAAAGAUUUAUCGCUUAAAGAUGGGCUCGCGUCUGAUUAGCUUGUUGGUGAGGUAACGGCUCACCAAGGCGACGAUCAGUAGCCGUACUGAGAGGUAGAACAGCCACAUUGGGACUGAGACACGGCCCAGACUCCUACGGGAGGCAGCAGUGGGGAAUAUUGCACAAUGGAGGAAACUCUGAUGCAGCGAUGCCGCGUGAGGGAAGAAGGUUUUCGGAUUGUAAACCUCUGUCUUAAGGGACGAUAAUGACGGUACCUUAGGAGGAAGCUCCGGCUAACUACGUG
This 514-nucleotide ribosomal RNA is filed under the name uncultured Oscillospiraceae bacterium. Its description in RNAcentral is "bacterial SSU rRNA". It matches the Rfam family "Bacterial small subunit ribosomal RNA", at positions 1 to 507 of the family's 1533-position model. The record is from RNAcentral. Lineage: Bacteria; Bacillati; Bacillota; Clostridia; Eubacteriales; Oscillospiraceae.